GUAAGCGCGGUAUUGGAUAUCCGCGUCCAAGCAGUUAGGCUGGGAAAUAGGCAAAUCCGUUUCCCGUGAAGGCUGAGCUGUGAUGGCGAGCGAAUUAUAGUAGCGAAGUUCCUGAUUCCACACUGCAAAGAAAAGCCUCUAGCGAGGUGAGAGGUGCCCGUACCGCAAACCGACACAGGUAGGCGAGGAGAGAAUCCUAAGGUGAUCGAGAGAACUCUCGUUAAGGAACUCGGCAAAAUGACCCCGUAACUUCGGGAGAAGGGGUGCUCUGUUAGGGUGCAAGCCCGAGAGAGCCGCAGUGAAUAGGCCCAGGCGACU
Molecule: ribosomal RNA, 318 nt
Filed under: Bacillus siamensis
Lineage: Bacteria; Bacillati; Bacillota; Bacilli; Caryophanales; Bacillaceae
Description: bacterial LSU rRNA
Rfam family: Bacterial large subunit ribosomal RNA
Source: RNAcentral